CCCUUAGAUGUUCCGGGCCGCACGCGCGCUACACUGAUGCAUUCAACGAGUCUAAAACCUGCUCUGAUAGGGGUGGGUAAUCUUUUGAAUGUGCAUCGUGAUUGGGAUAGAUGAUUGCAAUUUUUCAUCUUCAACGAGGAAUGCCUAGUAAACGCAAGUCAUCAGCUUGCAUUGAUUACGUCCCUGCCCUUUGUACACACCGCCCGUCGCUCCUACCGAUUGAAUGAUCCGAUGAAUAUCAUGGAUUGAGGACUAUAGCAGGUUCGCCUGUCUUGAUCUUCGAGAAGUGAAGUAAAUCUUAUCAUUUAGAGGAAGGAGAAGUCGUAACA
This 329-nucleotide ribosomal RNA is filed under the name uncultured eukaryote. RNAcentral describes it as "partial 18S ribosomal RNA". It matches the Rfam family "Eukaryotic small subunit ribosomal RNA", at positions 1470 to 1796 of the family's 1831-position model. The record is from RNAcentral.